This is a long non-coding RNA of Symphalangus syndactylus (siamang), 1671 nucleotides long. RefSeq lists it as uncharacterized. The record is from RefSeq and is a predicted model, not a curated record. NCBI's taxonomy places the organism in Eukaryota, Metazoa, Chordata, Mammalia, Primates, Hylobatidae.
CCGCCCUCUACUGUCCCUCCCCCUGGCCACAUGCGCAGUGCUGCCCCUUGGUCCGGCGAGGGAAGAAGCUCCCCCAUGCACCUAUUGGACUCCGGGCUGGCUGCAUGGCCGGCGUCUGGGUCAGGCCUCGCACACGGACGCUCUUGCCACUGUGAUAAAGAGGAGAAAAAGUCCCAGGAGAAAGGGACCCCCUAAAGUACUUUGAGAGCCACAUCCACCACUUCUCUGCCCCCCACCCAGGCUGGUUUCCAGGCCCUGGGGUCCUGGUGUGGACCUGCCUGCCGUAAUUAACGCAGGUGCAGGACCUGAGCGCCUUGGUCUCUCCCAACACAUGAGAGAAGUUUGUGUGAUUAACUGUUAAGUACUCCACGCUUCUGAAACGGGCGUAGGCACAGCGUCAGUUCUGUACAGUGCAGACGCAGCAGGACAGAAUCUCCCUGGGCAUCUUUCUGGAGCAUCAAUUUUACUGCAAGAUUUUGAAGAAACAAAUUUAAUUGAUUUCCAAGUUAAGAAAUUAAACCUUGAAAACUAGACUAAAAAGUCAUCUGCACCUGACGUAACAGACUUUCUGCAGGAAGAAAACUUUUAAGGCAGUAGCUGCGUAUGUCAUAUAAAUGUCUUCCUACCACAUCAAAAAUGUUGCUUUUAAAAUGUUUAAAAUUGAGAAGGAAGGAAUUUUCUCUGUAAGUUUCUAUCAAUGAACAUGCCACCAUCAAAAAGAAUAUUAGAAUCCAGCAUGAAGAUAAUGACUAAUAAAAAUGAGGUACAUACUUUCUAAAACCGUAAAUCAGAUUUGAAUGAGGAAUGCUUUCCACAUCCUUGAAAGAAAAGCGGUGUCUUGGGUUUUACAGUGUUCUGAGAAUGAAGUAUUAAGAUCCUAUUUCUAUAGGCAAGAUCAGACUUACUAAGUAUGGCACAACUAAGAGCUAAUUCAUUCAUUCUUUGUGUGCCACUAAAUAAAGAGAUUGAGCAAGUAAAAAAAAAUCAAACAGAAAUCCUGGAACUGAAAUAAACAACGGCAGAACUGAAAAAAUAUAAUAGAAGUGUUUAACAGGAGAAUCAAUCAUAAAGAAGAAAAAUUCAGCAAACUCAAAGACAGGCUAUUUACAAGUAACCAACCAUAAAGUGAACAAAUAUACACAUUUCAGAAAUUUCAGAAAAAGAGAAAGAGGAACAGAGAUUUAAAUAUAUAAUGUCUUAAAACUUUCCUAAUCUAGAAAAGAAUAUGAACAUCAAGUUUUAUGAAGCUCAAAAUACCUUCAGCAAGAAGAACCUAAUAAAGAUUGCCCUUGGACACAUUACGAUUGUCAAAAUACAAAGAUAAAGCACAAAUCUUGAAAACAGCAAGAGAUAAAUUCUUCACAUAGAAGGAAACCUUUAUAAUGGUAUCAGUGGAUUUUUCAGCAGAAGCUUUGCAAGCAAACUCAGAGACCAUAUAUUCAAAUGCUGAAAGGAGGAAAAAAACUGACAAUUAAGAAGAGUUUAUCCAACAAGGCUGUUCUUUAAAAAUAAUAGAGGUCAAGACAUUCCAACAUUCCAAGACAAAAAAGAAGGUGAGGGAAUUUAUCACACCUCAACCUGUCCUGCAAGAAAUGCUAAAAGGAAGUCUCCAUAUUGAUAUGACCGAAUACUAAUAACAUGAAAAAUAUUAAAGUAUAAAUGUCAGUGAAA